Molecule: ribosomal RNA, 727 nt
Filed under: Globigerinoides elongatus
Lineage: Eukaryota; Foraminifera; Rotaliida; Globigerinidae
Description: partial small subunit ribosomal RNA
Rfam family: Eukaryotic small subunit ribosomal RNA
Source: RNAcentral
GGCUUAAAUGCGUUUCAAAAAUUAAACCUGAGCGACAAGGUGCUGCUAUCGAAACUGUCUUUGGAGUGUGAACUAUAAGUCUUUUGGACUUAUGACCAUCACUCUAGACGUUUAUGUUUUGGUGUUGGCCCUUGAUGCUCAUUUUGAACGCAACGGACGUGAUUGCAACCCCUUGUUGAGAUUUAUCCGAUCUCUACGUUCACUGAACCCCACUCUUUAGCGAGAGCAGUGGGGAUGUGGAUAAACUCGGGGGACUGCUGACUAUAAACUUUUCUCAAACCAGAGGAAGGUUGCGGCAAUAACAGGUCUGUGAUGCCCUCAGAUGUUCCGGGCUGCACACGUGCUACAUUUAGUAGCGCAGUGUGCACAUUAAUAGAGUGAUAGGUUCCGUGGUUUGUACAUUUUAAGGGCUCGUCCUAGUAACCAAAGCUCCACGGGACAUAUCAACCUUCCCCUUACAGGGCGGGUAACCUCUUCGAAGUGCUGGCAUGAUUUCCCUAGUUUUGGCAUUUGAAUCCUUGUCGCAGCAGCCCUGAGACGUAGUGAACGCUGCAAAGUGAUUCCAGUCUUAGGUUUGCGACACAUGCAAUUCCUGGUUGACUCAUCGUGGGGACUGAUUCUUGUAAUUAUUUUUCACGGUUCAACCAGGAAUGCCUUGUACCGGCGGCUCAUUAAACCGCUGGGAAUACGUCCCUGCCCUUUGUACACACCGCCCGUCGCUCUUACC